RNAcentral lists this ribosomal RNA (435 nucleotides) under uncultured bacterium. RNAcentral describes it as "partial 16S ribosomal RNA". It matches the Rfam family "Bacterial small subunit ribosomal RNA", at positions 29 to 507 of the family's 1533-position model. The record is from RNAcentral.
AGCGAACGCUGGCGGCAGGCUUAACACAUGCAAGUCGAGCGGGCACUUUCGGGUGUCAGCGGCGGACGGGUGCGUAACGCGUGGGAACGUGCCCUCUGGUUCGGAAUAACUCAGGGAAACUUGAGCUAAUACCGGAUACGCCCUUUUGGGGAAAGGCUUGCUGCCGGAGGAUCGGCCCGCGUCUGAUUAGCUAGUUGGUGCGGUAACGGCUCACCAAGGCGACGAUCAGUAGCUGGUCUGAGAGGAUGAUCAGCCACACUGCGACUGAGACACGGCCCAGACUCCUACGGGAAGCAGCAGAGGGGAAUAUUGGACAAUGGGCGCAGGCCUGAUCCAGCCAUGCCGCGUGAGUGAUGAAGGCCUUAGGGUUGUAAAGCUCUUUUAUCCGGGACGAUAAUGACGGUACCGGAGGAAUAAGCCCCGGCUAACUUCGUG